GACGAACGCUGGCGGCGUGCCUAAUACAUGCAAGUAGAACGCACAGUUUAUACCGUAGCUUGCUACACCAUAGACUGUGAGUUGCGAACGGGUGAGUAACGCGUAGGUAACCUGCCUGGUAGCGGGGGAUAACUAUUGGAAACGAUAGCUAAUACCGCAUAAUAUUGAUUAUUGCAUGAUAAUUGAUUGAAAGAUGCUAUUGCAUCACUACCAGAUGGACCUGCGUUGUAUUAGCUAGUAGGUGAGGUAACGGCUCACCUAGGCGACGAUACAUAGCCGACCUGAGAGGGUGAUCGGCCACACUGGGACUGCGACACGGCCCAGACUCCUACGGGAGGCAGCAGUAGGGAAUCUUCGGCAAUGGACGAAAGUUUGACCGAGCAACGCCGCGUGAGUGAAGAAGGUUUUCGGAUCGUAAAGCUCUGUUGUAAGAGAAGAACGGGUGUGAGAGUGGAAAGUUCACACUGUGACGGUAUCUUACCAGAAAGGGACGGCUAACUACGUG
RNAcentral lists this ribosomal RNA (505 nucleotides) under uncultured bacterium. Its description in RNAcentral is "partial 16S ribosomal RNA". It matches the Rfam family "Bacterial small subunit ribosomal RNA", at positions 28 to 507 of the family's 1533-position model. The record is from RNAcentral.